This 450-nucleotide ribosomal RNA is filed under the name uncultured Fibrobacteres/Acidobacteria group bacterium. Its description in RNAcentral is "bacterial SSU rRNA". It matches the Rfam family "Bacterial small subunit ribosomal RNA", at positions 1090 to 1533 of the family's 1533-position model. The record is from RNAcentral. Lineage: Bacteria; Pseudomonadati.
GCACGAGCGCACCCUUGCCAGGAGUUGCCAUCAGGUUAAGCUGGGCACUCUACUGGGACUGUCGGGCGAAAAGCCGGAGGAAGGUGGGGAUGACGUCAAGUCCUCAUGGCCUUUAUGCCCCGGGCUACACACGUGCUACAAUGGGCGGUACAAAGAGCAGCCAACUCGCGAGAGUGAGCGAAUCUCAGAAAACCGUCCACAGUUCGGAUUGCAGUCUGCAACUCGACUGCAUGAAGUUGGAAUCGCUAGUAAUCGCGGAUCAGCACGCCGCGGUGAAUACGUUCCCGGGCCUUGUACACACCGCCCGUCACAUCACGGGAGUGGGCUGUACUAGAAGUCGCUGGGCCAACCUGCUUCGGCAGGAGGUAAGCGCCGACGGUAUGGUUCAUGACUGGGGUGAAGUCGUAACAAGGUAGCUGUAGGAGAACCUGUGGCUGGAUCACCUCCUUU